CUCAGUAGUUUACUACUGUAAAGGGGGCUGUCAGUCUGUAUAGCGCAAGCUGAUGAGCAGCUGGCCUCUUUUAUCACCCUUGUCUUUUGCGUACCCACGUUUCCUCGGUAGGCUUGCCUGCCGAUUGGACAAACCUUUAACCUUUUUAAUUUUCAAUCAGCGUCUGAAAAACUUAAUAAUUACAACUUUCAACAACGGAUCUCUUGGUUCU
RNAcentral lists this unclassified non-coding RNA (211 nucleotides) under rhizosphere metagenome. Its description in RNAcentral is "partial ribosomal RNA internal transcribed spacer region". The record is from RNAcentral.